This 128-nucleotide ribosomal RNA is filed under the name uncultured eukaryote. Its description in RNAcentral is "partial small subunit ribosomal RNA". It matches the Rfam family "Eukaryotic small subunit ribosomal RNA", at positions 1651 to 1776 of the family's 1831-position model. The record is from RNAcentral.
CCCUGCCCUUUGUACACACCGCCCGUCGCUGCCCGGAACUGAGCCGUUUCGAGAAAGCCGGGGACUGACGACUUGAGGCGCGCAAGCGUCUCUCGUCGACGGAAACCAGUUUGAUCGGUAUGGCUUGA